GAUGAACGCUGGCGGCGUGCCUAAUACAUGCAAGUCGAGCGAACGGACGAGAAGCUUGCUUCUCUGAUGUUAGCGGCGGACGGGUGAGUAACACGUGGAUAACCUACCUAUAAGACUGGGAUAACUUCGGGAAACCGGAGCUAAUACCGGAUAAUAUUUUGAACCGCAUGGUUCAAAAGUGAAAGACGGUCUUGCUGUCACUUAUAGAUGGAUCCGCGCUGCAUUAGCUAGUUGGUAAGGUAACGGCUUACCAAGGCAACGAUGCAUAGCCGACCUGAGAGGGUGAUCGGCCACAACGGAACUGAGACACGGUCCCGACUCCUACGGGAGGCAGCAGUAGGGAAUCUUCCGCAAUGGGCGAAAGCCUGACGGAGCAAUGCCGCGUGAGUGAUGAAGGUCUUCGGAUCGUAAAACUCUGUUAUUAGGGAAGAACAUAUGUGUAAGUAACUGUGCACAUCUUGACGGUACCUAAUCAGAAAGCCACGGCUAACUACGUG
RNAcentral lists this ribosomal RNA (497 nucleotides) under uncultured bacterium. RNAcentral's name for it is "partial 16S ribosomal RNA". It matches the Rfam family "Bacterial small subunit ribosomal RNA", at positions 28 to 507 of the family's 1533-position model. The record is from RNAcentral.